GACUUAUUCAUUUGAACCCUCCGGUUGGAGUUAUUGGUGACGUUUUUGAGGAUGCUUGCCUGUGUCUCUCUUAUCUAUCAAAUGGUUCAGCUGAACAAAUCCAGGCUCUAAUCGAUGCAGAUGUCUGUGCAAGGCUCGUUAUGCUUUUAGGAUGGAAAAAUUGUUGAGCAUGUGCUUAGAACAGUAGGAAACAUUUUUAAGGGAGUUGAUUCUCAGAUUCAGAUUCUGAUAAACAACGGGGUUUUCUUUUGUUUUAAUGCUAUUCUCAUGCAUGGGAGUAACAGUUCUGUUCUGGGGAAAACUUGUUCGGCAAUCCCAACUUUGACAGCUAGAGGUAGAAAUCAGAUGCAAGUAGGAAUUUACUAUGGUUUUGUAUGAACUUAUUUCUUCUGUAAAUAUAAAUCACCUUAAUCGUUUUCAUUGAAUAUUUAGUGUUCCAAAGACUGAUGAAAUCUAUAGGUUUAUUCUUAUACAAA
Long non-coding RNA from Gossypium arboreum, 476 nucleotides. RefSeq lists it as uncharacterized. The record is from RefSeq and is a predicted model, not a curated record. The transcript has 3 exons. Lineage: Eukaryota; Viridiplantae; Streptophyta; Magnoliopsida; Malvales; Malvaceae.